UUAGGCAGUGAGAGAGAGAGAGAUGGAAAGAAAGGUCUUCCCUCCGUUGGUUCAGCCCCCCAAAUGGCUGCUACGGCCGGCACACUGCGCUGAUCCGAAGCCAGGAGCCAGGUGCUUCUCCUGGUCUCCUAGGAGAAGGGUGCAGGGCCCAAGGCCCUGGGCAUUGCUCCACUGCUGUCCUGGGCCACAGCAGAGAGCUGGACUGGAAGAGGAGCAACCAGGACAGAACUGGUGCCCCAACUGGGACUAGAACCCAGAGUGCCGGCGCUGCCCUCUUUCCAUCUUGCCCAACCCUUACAGCCAAACUCCACAGCUGCACUCUCAAGAGAUUGGAAAUGGAGCUAAGGAAAAGGUAACUUUUGUCGCCUGUGUGAGAGAGAGAGCUGUAUGUGAAAGCUGUAUCAUCUUCCUGCUCAGAGACUGUAGGAGAGCAACCAUCUUCCUUCCACACAUGGUGGGAGGCACUUUGCUCCCCGGAGUAAGUUGAAUUAGGACAAGCAAACAAGACGUGAGAGAGGUAAGGAGAAGCGCACAGUCUUGAAGAGAAGGCGACCCUCCGGAGCCACCCUGUGGCUCACUGAGCAAGGUCACCCUUGGGGGCACUCCCCCAGCUGUGGGGAGUCUGGUUCUGGAUUACUCCUGCACUCCUGUUCCCGAUCCGGGGCUUGCGCCUGGUUGAUGAUGCUCACCCAGAUCACUGAAGCCCACAGAGGAAUUCCGGCCCUGCCCCUUACCAGGUGUGUGAAUCGGGCAAGUCACUCAGGACAAUGGAACCUCCUUUCCCUCCCAGUGCAGUAAUAAUCCUUGGGGGAGAGGUGGCUGGCAGGAAGCUGUUGCUUGCUGUUUUGCCAUGUUCAUUUACUCUUACCUUCCCCUUAUCUUCAUUUCUGGGCAAUGAAAAAUGCUUAUUUUAUCCUUCUGAUUUCUUUCAUGCAGCCACAAGUCUUGGAGGGCAAAGAUGGAUCUGGCUCAAGCAUUCAACCGUUUGCCUCGCACUAGACUGAUCUCCAUCACUCCAUCAUGGCUGUCUGCCUCACCUGUCCCCAUGGGACUCAUGCCUUCCUGCCCCUUCCACCUCUCCAGAGAAGAGAGGGAGUUACAGAGAGGUCUUCCAAAGGUGGUUCACUCUCCAGAUGGCUGCAAUGGCCAGGGCUAGGCCUGGCUGAAGUCAGAAGCCAAGAGGUUUAUCUGGAUCUCCCACAUGGGUACAGGAGCCCAAGUACUUGGGCCCUCUUCUGCUGCUUUUCCCAGGCAUGUUAACAGGGAGCUGGAUUGGAAGUGGAGCUGGAACUUGAACCGGCGCCGAUAUGGGAUGCCAGUGUCACAAGUGGUGGCUUUACCCACUAUGCCACGAUGCUGGAACCUCAUCCUUCUUUCUGUAGAAAAAUAUAACCAAGUUCAUAGAAGAGGAAAGAUGGCCACUGUUAAUAUUUUUCAAUUCAUCCAGACCUUUCCCUUGCUGUGUGGAUGUGGAUUUUUUCAUGAGAUCACAGUGUACAGUUUCUAAACUGCUUAAAAAACCACCCGGAUGUAUAAUCAAAAAUUGUUCCACAUGUGGACUGCAAUUUCAGCUCCUGCUUGAGCCUUCAGUCUUCCCUAUGGGUUUUGGGCUUUCCUAUUCAACCCCUACAAUUGCAUACGCCAUUUUCCCCCAAUAAAUCCCUUUAUA
This is a non-coding RNA of Oryctolagus cuniculus (rabbit), 1669 nucleotides long. NCBI's taxonomy places the organism in Eukaryota, Metazoa, Chordata, Mammalia, Lagomorpha, Leporidae. The record is from RefSeq and is a predicted model, not a curated record.